UACGGAGGGUGCAAGUGUUAAUCGGAAUUACUGGGCGUAAAGCGCACGCAGGCGGUUGGGUAAGGUAGAUGUGAAAGCCCCGGGCUCAACCUGGGAAUUGCAUUUAAAACUGUCCGGCUAGAGUCUUGUAGAGGGGGGUAGAAUUCCAGGUGUAGCGGUGAAAUGCGUAGAGAUCUGGAGGAAUACCGGUGGCGAAGGCGGCCCCCUGGACAAAGACUGACGCUCAGGUGCGAAAGCGUGGGGAGCAAACAGG
RNAcentral lists this ribosomal RNA (253 nucleotides) under uncultured bacterium. Its description in RNAcentral is "partial 16S ribosomal RNA". It matches the Rfam family "Bacterial small subunit ribosomal RNA", at positions 524 to 776 of the family's 1533-position model. The record is from RNAcentral.